Molecule: long non-coding RNA, 5489 nt
Organism: Brassica napus (rape)
Lineage: Eukaryota; Viridiplantae; Streptophyta; Magnoliopsida; Brassicales; Brassicaceae
Exons: 2
Source: RefSeq, a predicted model, not a curated record
ACAUUUUUUAUUGAACAAAGAAACAACACAAAUGGUUAAUAUAUGAAUAGUACAACUUUAUUGUCGUUAAAAAGUACAAUUUUAUUAAAAAAAAAAUUCACCAAAUAUAAAAUUUCAAACUCAUAUUAUAUACAAAAACUAAAACUAAUAUAAAAGAUAUUCCUUUAUAACUUAUUUUACAUUCUAAAUAUUAUUUAAAAAUAAAAAAAUAUAUGCGUGUGGAGAAUUUAAGUCCGGUAUUUUUAUAAAGUAGUAUUGACAAUGUUAGCCUCUUAUGUAGUUUUAUUUUUUGGUACAUUAGCGUAACAUUUCAUACGUACCUGUUUGAGCUUUAAAUAUGAUAUGCUCAAUGAUUUGAUCGAUAGUGUUUUUAAAUAUUAAACAUUCAUAUUAAACCCUAUCUUAUUUGUAUUUCCUACAGCAUUCCAUUGUCUCAGAGUGACGACGCUGGCAGUUAUUAGUAUAAGCUUGAUAGUAUACCUCUAUGUACUUGAUCGCAAGAGUUAGAUUCUUGAAGGAAACUUAAUAAUAUAGUUGGUUUAUAAGGAAUAAUAUAGUUGGUUUAUAUCUAAAAUAAUAUUUUGAUCCACCGUUAUUUUACAUUAUUAGACUCUAUGUAAUGACCCACCACUCCCACCAUCUCCACUUCUUUCUCCAACCCCACCACUUCCAACUUCUUCUCCACCAUCUCCACCUUCUUCCCCACCACCUCCAUCUUCUUUAAAAUUAAGAAAGAGAGAGAGAGAGAGAGAGAGAGAGAGAGAGAGAGAAAGAGAGAGAGAAGAAGAAGAAGAAGGGAGAAAGCUCACCUGAGCUCGUCGCCGGAGCCACCACACGCCAGGACGUCGUCAAGCUCGUCACCACCAUCAUCCGCAACCAAAGAUUUGGAGUCCAUUUGAGCAGCUGGAGUUCAUAGAUACCACUUCUUAUUGCUAAGGUGAGGGUCUAUUCCCGAACUCCUCUUAUUCGGCUUAGGACCUCGAAUAAGUAUAAUUUAUUUCUAAUGUGUUCCGUCUGUGUGAAAUCGAGUCUAUCAUUGCUUGUUUAGUUUUAGGUUCUUUGCAUAAACCGGAACUAGGGGGUUAGAGGAUUCAACAUUGAUUGUUUCACUUAAUGUAAAUUCUUAGCUAGGAUUGUUUUUGUUUGGAGACGGAUACAGAGUCGGACUGCUGUAUGCCGGAUUGUAUGGAGGUCACGGCCAACUUUAGUCGACCGGUUGAGCCGUAGACUGGAAGUGUCGAUAAAUCGUCUACGGGCGUGUGUUACCGAGCACUUUUUCGGUGUGUGUAUGAACCGAGCACCUUUUCGGUAGUGUUUUGGCCUGUUAGUGGGCGGCGAGUGUGCACCUCGCUAGGACCAUUGUUUGUUGCUUGAGUACUUUAGGUACUGUGUUUGACAUGCAUUAGAAUUAAAUUAUAUUUAUUCGGAGUGCUAUGUCCGGGUCCAUGGACUUCGGGGUGGCAUCCCAUACCUCACUGAGCGAUUCCCCUGUCGCUCACCCCUCACUCUUCCCCCUUUCAGGUGAGACAAACAAGUAUGUGAUAUUUGGACGGACUUGGUGCUACUGGACUUUUCUUUCAGAUUUUAUUUGGGCAUGGGUGAGAGUUGUCGGGUUUAUGGGCUUUUAUAUUACGGGAUAUUGUUGGUGGCCCGUCGUCCUUAGUGUCAGGGAGACGGGUAUCACAUUGUUGUAUGAUGACGCGUCGGGGGUGACACGCUGUCCUCCAUAUAGGAGGUGACGGGUGUCACAAUUUGGUAUCAGAGCGGGUUCCAUCCCGGUUCCGUCCCGGGAUGGCGGUCAGAGAUUCGGUUUUCAUCGGUUUUCAACUUAAAAAAAAAAAAAACUAUAUAUUUAUUUAUACAUUUCGAAAUUCUUUUAGCACCAUUCUGUCCAGUAAUUACUAACUCAAAUGUCUCUUUCUAUGACGAUGAGUAAAAUCAUCGUCAUUCGUCCUUCGACUAUCAAGGUUCUCGACAGAUGUUCAGCAGUUGCGUGAAGUUUAAGUUCGUCAGUUUUCUCGGGAGUUAUCAGUUUCUUCGGUCAUGAUUUCGAGGCUAUCCAGGAGUGGAUAUGUGACGUUUCUGCCACCAGCCCACUUCAAGCAAUCGUUCCACGAGUUUUGUUACUGGAGAUUAUGUGGUGUGUGGUAUGAGCCAUUGGUUGGCAUGUGUUAUUGUGUGUACGAGUAUAUUGACUAUUUUGGAGAUAUUUUUGUUUUGUGAACUCGUGGAGAUCGCUUUUGAAUUGGGGUGCAGCAGCUUGCGUUGUGUGGGUGUUGGAGUUACACUUUGGUAUGUUUACCAAUUUUGGCAGUGUUGAUCGUUUCAGAGAUGUGUCAGUUUGGACAACUGACAUAGGACAUUGGGAGCUAUUUAUAUCCAUCGCAGUGUACCAGUUAUGCUUGGAGGGCCGAUUUGUUCGGAUAUUCAUCAGAGAUGGAGCUACGUUUUUACGAUGUUAUCCUUGGGAUGGAUUGACUGUCACGGCAUCAAGUAGUGUUGGAUUGCCUGAGGGCAAGAGUUCCGAUUGCUGGAGCAGAUGGAAGUUGUUAGUGCAUGCAUGCUACAUACUGAGGAGUUAUGGGAUACAAGGAUAUAUAGAUUUUUGACUACCAUCUCGAUGGUUAAGGAUGAUGGACAACAUGAGCUGCAGGAUCUUCCGGUUAUUGCAGAGUAUGAGGAUAUAUUUGUGACCUUUGGAAAGGCCACCACAUGACACAUGAGAAACUCUUGCGAUUUGUUUGGAGCAAACAACACCAGUUUCACAAGUUUUAUACCGAUUAGCACCAACAGAGAUGACAAAGCUGAAAGAGCAUGUUGAAGAUUCAUCAGACAAGGGUUUUAUCAGACCGGAUACUUUACCGUGGGGAACAUCAUCAUUGUUGUUGUAAAGAAGAAAGGUGGGAGUUUCAAUUUUGUAUCGACUACAAAGGUCUGAACAAAGUGACCAUUAAAGAUAAGUAUCGCUUCCGCGCAUUGAUGAAUUAUUGGAUUAUUUACAGGAAGUUUAUAGUUCUUGAAGGUUGACAUGGCAUCAGAACACCAUCAGAUUACUAUAUUUGAAGAGUAUCUACUGAAUGUAAAUUUUUGUAUACAUUAUGGAUAUUAUGGGACGCAGUGAUACCAUUUGGGUCGACAAAGGCACUGUUGCAUUCAUGAAGAUAUGAAUGACGUUUUCAUGAACAUUUGGAUAGGUGUGCGAUUGUAUUCAUCGAUGACAUCCUGAUUUAUUUUGGAGAAGAAAGGAGAUUUGUGAGCAUUUCGCGGAUUGCGUUGGAUAAGCCUGGAGAGCAUCAGUUGUUCGCUAAGUUGAGGAAGUGUAGCUUCUGGCAGAGGAAUGUUGUAUUUUUGGCUGACAUGGUUUUGGAAGCAGAAUUUUGAUGGAUCCAAAGAAGAUUAAUACCGUUUCGGGAAGGUCGAAACCUAAGAGCGCUACAAAGAUCUGCCGUUCUUUUUGGGUUAAUAGUGUACUACUGGAAGUUCAUCAAGGGUUUCACCGGUAUAGUAAUGUUAAAGACGCGGUCUACAUGUAAAGACGUAAAGUGUGGCUGGAUAGAUUUUGUUCGAGGAGUUUCACUGAAUUGAAGCACAACUAAUGAAGACACCAGUUUUGGGUUCUACUGAGGCUGAGGCUUACUGUGAUGUGUCAGAUACUGGAUUGGAUUUAAAUUAAGGUAUGAGGAUUAAGUCAUUCAUAUGCAUCAUGCCAGAGAGGCUGUAGUGGUAUUUGCGUUAUAGUUUUGGAGAUCGUAAUUGUACGGGAAGGAAGUUCAGAUUCUCUGGGAUUAUUAGAAUGUGAAAUUUAUCUUCAUUUAUUAAAAACUUGUACUUGGAUAGUGCAGUUGGAUUGAGUUUGUAGCAGGCAGUUUUGCUAUGGAGGAUACACAAGCACAAGUUAGCAUUAUGGAUUGGUUGAACAGAUCGAGAUUGGGAGUAUUGGAUAUCAUACAUCUUUGAGCAGGAUAUACUUGUACUGAAACCGAGUUUGUGUGUUGGACGAUAAGUUGUUAAGAAAAGGAAUCUUACAACAAACAUAUCACUCGUGUUUCUCUACGCAUCGGGAAGACCAAAGGGUACAAAGAUAUGAAGAGUUAACUAUAAUUGGUGUAGUAUGAAGAUGUUUGUAAUUACAUUGCGUCGCAGUGCCAGACAUGUUAUAUGGCAAUGACAGAGGAUCAGUUAUCUAUCAUGUUAUUUUAAGCUUGCUUUUGCCGGAAUGGAAAUGAGGCAUGGUGAUUAUGGACAUUGUUAUUGGAUUUUAAAUCACCAUAUGUGGAAAGGAUGCCACAUGGGUAGUCAUGGAUAGACUUACCAAGUCAGCCCAUUUCCUAAGUAAUUAAGAAGAUAAUCAGGGCUAAUCAAUUGGAGCAAACCUACAUUAUUGAGUUUGGGAAGUUUCAUGGAUGUCAACAUUGUAUCGGAUUGGGAAUCGAAGUUCACAUCUACAUUUCAGAGAGCCUUUCGGAAGGCACUUGGGACAAAGAUCAUAUGAGUACAUCUUAUCACCCGUUGACAUAUUGUCAGACAGAGAGGACUACUCAGAACUUAAAUGAUAUGUUCAGAGAUUGCGUGGGAUGAAAUUUCGGAAAGCAUCUACCUUUACCAGAGUUUGCCUACAUCGACAACUAUCUUUUGAGUAUUGAGAAAAAAAAAAAAAAAAAAAAAUUUUACUAUACGAGGGUUAUUUAUGGUAGACCCUAUAGUAUACCACUUUGUUGGACCAAAGUGGGGUAGCAAUAUGAGUUAGAACUAUUAAUGGUUUAAGAGACGGUAGAGCAGAGGACAUGCUCAAGGAUUGGCUUUCGGAAGCCCAUGACGUCAGAGAAUUUAUGCAGCUAAGCACCGUAAGGAUUUGGAGCUACAUAUGAGCACCUAAUAUACCUGAAAAUAAGGACAUUUCAGGAGGGACCUAAGACUCAGAAGAUAAAGGAGCUUAAACCGAGACACAUGGAAUUGUAUCCUUCGCUGGAGUGGAUUGGAUUAAUUGCUUGCAGUUACUUUAUCAGCAGUAUAUCAGCCUUCUAGUACUUGGUUCAUAUGACAGCAUUGCAAAAGUUGAGAAGGCGCUAUAACUAUUUUGCAGUAGACAUCAAGUGAGUUCAUAAAGAUUUUAUGAACCUUAUCAUCUAUUGGAGAUUUUGGAUCAUCAUGAGAAGACAGUUCGGGGAAUAUCGACUGUGUUUGUCCGAGUUCAUUGGGAGGGAGAUAAGACCCAGGAGGAAACCUGAAAGGUCGAGCGAAGAUUAGUAUUCGAGGUUUUGCUAUGAUGACAUUGGGCACGUCAGCUUAUGACAUGAAUUCGGGGACGAAUUCCUUAUAAGUGGGGGAGAAUUGUAAUGACCCACCACUCCCACCAUCUCCACUUCUUUCUCCAACCCCACCACUUCCAACUUCUUCUCCACCAUCUCCACCUUCUUCCCCACCACCUCCAUCUUCUUUAAAAUUAAGAAAGAGAGAGAGAGAGAGAGAGAGAGAGAGAGAGAGAGAGA